RNAcentral lists this unclassified non-coding RNA (273 nucleotides) under Glomus sp. RNAcentral's name for it is "partial contains 5.8S ribosomal RNA and internal transcribed spacer 2". The stretch from base 1 to 65 matches the Rfam family "5.8S ribosomal RNA", at positions 84 to 154 of the family's 154-position model. Lineage: Eukaryota; Fungi; Glomeromycota; Glomeromycetes; Glomerales; Glomeraceae. The record is from RNAcentral.
GUGAAUCAUCGAAUUUUUGAACGCAAAUUGCACUCUCCUCGGAGAGGAUGCCUGUUUGAGUUUCAGCCUAUAAAAAAUCGACAUCGUUGCUGUUUCGCGGUUGCGGUCGUCGGAAAUUGGGUCAUCGUAAAUCCUUUUUGUUUUUAAUCGACUUAAAAUUUUCUUUUUGGUUCCAUGAACGUUUCUAAUAUUUAUUUCUUUACACGUUUAAGGUAUCGAUUUUUAUUAUACUUGACCAUCAUAUCGGAUCGCGUCCAUAAUCUUUCAUUAACU